Molecule: long non-coding RNA, 1404 nt
Filed under: Apteryx rowi (Okarito brown kiwi)
Lineage: Eukaryota; Metazoa; Chordata; Aves; Apterygiformes; Apterygidae
Description: lncRNA (ENSARWG00000005198.1)
Source: RNAcentral
CGCCGGGCCCGCCGCGGGGGGGGAGGUGCCGCGCCCGGCGGCCGCCUCGGAGCACCCGGCGGCCGCUGCGACAGUGACGCCUCCCGGUUUAUGGAGAAAUCGGGGACUGCCCACAAUUCGGCAUCAUUUCUGCCCUUUGGCACCAGCCGUGACCAGAUCAGCGUGAACGCUGACUUUUCCUCCACAAACGGUGCCUGCCCAGCCUGCUGGGGUAAAUGCCAGAGGGAGCCAGACUGUUCACUAAGAGCUAUAACGUGUGUAUGGAGGACAGCGUAAUGGCUGCUACAGUAAAAGAGUGUCUUGAGCUCCAGCUCCUGGAAGUGGAAAUGCUCUUGUCAAUGUUUCCUAAAAAAGGCGAAAUAAAUCUGUGUGAUGAGGAUGCUGUGCUUGGCAUGCGGCGCUGAGAAACUCUAAGGGAGCUCUGCCCCCGCGGCUCGAGUAUUCAGUUGCUAUUGAUGUAGGGAAGUCAAAGGUGAGAACUUCCACUUAGAUGUGUUCAUGUGUGUUGUCUUCUUUACUGCUAGUGCAGACACUUAAAAAGCAAGAUUUUUCCCCAACUCUGCUCUAGAAAAGGAAGGAAAAAAAAGUAUUUUCUGUUUGCCAUUUCAAAAGUUAAGAGUAAAAACAUCUGCUGGGUUUUAAUUAUUUAUCUGAGCCUUAACUUUCUUUGGGCAAGAAAGGCUAAUAGAAUUGCAGAUAAGAAUAGACAGUGAUGUCAGCUGACACACACAUUUCUUAAGAGCUUAGCUAGGGCUGUGUCCAUAUGAGAGUUGUUAGUUUACUGGUUUACAAAGAGUUGUGUAUUGUAAAGGCAAAGCUUUCCUUGUGUAAAUACAUACAUUGCACUUUAUACASUUCUAGUAAAAUCACCCUAAUAUUUCUCUCAUCUGCCCUUUGCCAUGAAUACUUACUUUCAUUGAUGUGUAUUUGAAAAGAUGACUAAUGUAAAAAUAGUCAAAAAUGGUGGAAUACUAUUAAGAAGAGUAACACGAACAUUAAAACCAGCCUAGGAACUGGGAAACAACAUUUACAAUAUAAGAGUUCCAUUAGCUUACCUUAGUUGUCAUGCCUAACCUUUUUUUCAAUAAGUGAUGAAAAUACUUGCACAGAAAAUAGCCAUUAGUGCAGGCCUGAGUAUAAAAUAGUACAAUGAUUGGAAGUUGAAAGUAGACUCAACCUAAAAGUAUAUGCAGUUUCCUAGAAAUAGCAAUAAUUAAAUAUUGGAACAAAUUAUGGGGUAAAGAGGUAGACAUCAUUAUUUGGAAACAACUACAAGAUUAGGUAUAUAUCUAAAAUGUACCCAACCUUUUAAGAGAAGUUCAGUGAACUGUGUAUGGAGGGCUUGUGUUGUAAGAUUUUUUUUUUUUCCCAUGACAGAUUUUCAAAAAACUUGGGAAGGUAAUU